GUCUUCCUAGCUCAGUGGAUAGAGCGUCCGGCUACGAACCGGAAGGUCAGGGGUUCAAAUCCCUUGGAGGACA
Molecule: transfer RNA, 73 nt
Organism: Gordonia malaquae NBRC 108250
Lineage: Bacteria; Bacillati; Actinomycetota; Actinomycetes; Mycobacteriales; Gordoniaceae
Rfam family: tRNA
About the family: Transfer RNA (tRNA) molecules are approximately 80 nucleotides in length. Their secondary structure includes four short double-helical elements and three loops (D, anti-codon, and T loops).
Source: Rfam